GACGAACGCUGGCGGCGUGCUUAACACAUGCAAGUCGAACGGAAAGGCCCUGCUUUUGUGGGGUGCUCGAGUGGCGAACGGGUGAGUAACACGUGAGUAACCUGCCCUUGACUUUGGGAUAACUUCAGGAAACUGGGGCUAAUAUCGGAUAGGAGCUCCUGCUGCAUGGUGGGGGUUGGAAAGUUUCGGCGGUUGGGGAUGGACUCGCGGCUUAUCAGCUUGUUGGUGGGGUAGUGGCUUACCAAGGCUUUGACGGGUAGCCGGCCUGAGAGGGUGACCGGCCACAUUAGGACUGAGAGACGGACCAGACUCCUACGGGAGGCAGAAGUGGAGAAUAUUGCAGAAUGAGCGGGAGCCUGAUGCAGCAACGCCGCGUGCGGGAUGACGGCCUUCGGGGUAUGAACCACUUUCGACGGUGACGAAGAGUGAGUGACGGUAAUGAGUAAAGAAGCACCGGCUAAAUACGUG
RNAcentral lists this ribosomal RNA (468 nucleotides) under uncultured bacterium. RNAcentral's name for it is "partial 16S ribosomal RNA". It matches the Rfam family "Bacterial small subunit ribosomal RNA", at positions 28 to 507 of the family's 1533-position model. The record is from RNAcentral.